Molecule: unclassified non-coding RNA, 147 nt
Filed under: soil metagenome
Description: partial internal transcribed spacer 1
Source: RNAcentral
UAGUAAGUGUUUUAUGGCACUUUUUAAAUCCAUAUCCACCUUGUGUGCAAUGUCGGUCGAUCUUCUUUUUUUGAGGAUCGACCAAACAUCAACCUUUAUUUUUUAACUCUUUGUCUGAAAAAUAUUAUGAAUAAACAAUUCAAAAUA